CCAUAUCGCGUUGAAACACAGGUUCACAUAUGAUCACCGAAGUUAAACAACGUCUAGCCUGGUUAGUACCAUGAUGGGUGACCACCUGGGAAUACCAGGUGCUGUAA
Non-coding RNA from Acanthosepion pharaonis, 107 nucleotides. NCBI's taxonomy places the organism in Eukaryota, Metazoa, Mollusca, Cephalopoda, Sepiida, Sepiidae. The record is from the annotation of a GenBank genome assembly.